This is a non-coding RNA of Trichonephila clavata, 69 nucleotides long. The record is from the annotation of a GenBank genome assembly. Lineage: Eukaryota; Metazoa; Arthropoda; Arachnida; Araneae; Nephilidae.
UCCCAUGUGGCUAUGGUAAGGAUUCCUGGCUCUCACCCAGGCGGCCGGGUUCGAUUCCCGGCAUGGAAG